RNAcentral lists this long non-coding RNA (15978 nucleotides) under Vigna radiata. Its description in RNAcentral is "long non-coding RNA (VRAD_LNC005145)". The record is from RNAcentral. Lineage: Eukaryota; Viridiplantae; Streptophyta; Magnoliopsida; Fabales; Fabaceae.
AUUUCGACUGAAAGGCGACCCAGGUGAGUGCGGCGACCCAAGGUAUGAGUUAGAUUGCGUUAACAACGCCACUCUCUUAUUAACCUUUUCCUCGGCAAAAUACCUUGUACGAGAGAUCGAUUACAAGGGAUACAAAAUCGUUCUUAGAGACCCAGGUCAGGACGAGGACGCUAAUUGCUCUUUCAUCCCUCGCAAUUUCUUAUCGGCUUCGGUUUUCUCAUAUCAUUUCGGAUCGGAGCCUUUCAGUUGGGAAUACUGGUAUACUGUUGGAAUAGGAUACUUCAACUGCUUGAAUCCUGUGAGUGACGAUCCACGAUAUGUUAAGGUGGACAGGAGUGGAUGUGGCAGCGGAGGGCACGUGUACGCCGUAUUAGGAUCUUCGUAUGAUGUUGGUGUGAAGGACAUCAAGGUUGGAUGCGAUCUGAUGGUGGCUACGGUUUGGACACCGAAACAGAAUGUUACCUACCACAAGUAUGAUGAGUCUGACAGCUGGGAGGUUGAAGUGCUUGAAGGAAUAUCGGAGCGGAAUGUUACAUAUGAUGAUAUCCAACGCAAAAUAAGUGAGGGAUUUUGGUUGUCGUGGUUGUCCAUUGUUUGCGAGGAUAGAUGUGGAAGGGGGACAGAGUGUCUGCAUAUCAAUGAAUCCAGCGGAGAAGUCUUUUGUAAGAACCAUUACUGUCAUUACGCUUACCACACCACCCAAAAGUGCGGUAAUAUUAUCCACUCUAUCCUUUUAUUAUUCAUUAUUAUUGCUAAAACAAUAAUGAUACUACCGAAGAUCCUUCUCUUGUUCUGCUAUGCUGAUUAAAGGUUGUCUUAUCGUUAAAACAAAAUUCAUGUGCGUCAUUAAAUACUAUAAUGUUAAUUUUCUUACAAUUGUCAUUUUUACUUAUACAAACAAGCUAUCAAUUGCUUCUCUAAGUAAGUUUGUUCAUUAAUUUUCUAAAUUUCAUAUUAACAAUAAUCUUUGCUUGUGUUUCAGAACCUUGGCAAAAGGUUUUGGGCUAUAUUCGAGGUAAGUAAUUAUUUCUGUCUUUAUUUUUAAAUAUCUUACAAAUUAGAUUAUUUUUAGAUGAGUUUAUAUUAUAGUUCUAUUUAUUAACGCGUUUCUUUUUUUCUAAAAACGAAUUGACUAACGAAUAAACCAAGAAUAACUAAAAAAAAAAACACAAUACGUUGAUUGACGAGUUGAAGAUAGAAAAAAAAAAUUAUAAUCACGUAACUAACGAAUUAUAGUUCUUUUAUUUAUCUUUCUCAAGUCUAAUACUGAGCUCUUUCGUUUUUUAAAGUUCGUUUUAUACAAGUGUGCCAUAUUUUGGAUUGACACGAUAUUUAUUCUCUUAUAUUUUUUAUUUGCAGCUUAUCUUAGAGGCAUUAUUUAUGGUAAGAUCCUUCUUCGUGAUUCCUAAAAUUUGAAUCACAUCAUAUUACAAGUUUCAUUAGUUUAUGUUUUUGAACGAAGUCAUGAAUUACACCGGAGCAUGUUGUUAGUUCUUACUCAUAGGGCGAUAUAUUUGUAGGAAUAGGUAGCAGAAUAACAUUGAGUACGAAACAAUUGGACAACCCUGUUGGACUGCAAUAUUUUGAUGAAGGAAUAUUCAUAGGACGACAAAUUAUACCAAUAUUUUUGGUAGGCAGAUAUCUGUUUGGAGUUGUACUUAUUCUUGUGUUAUUCAUCUGCAAAUGGCGACGAAGACAUUCUUCAAUAUAUGAAAAUAUUGAAAAUUUCUUGCUUGAUAGUCAUCUAAAUCCCAUCAGGUACGAAUACAACGAAAUAGAAAAAAUGACCAAAGGUUUCAAAGUGAAAUUGGGUCAAGGAGGCUUUGGUGCNNNNNNNNNNNNNNNNNNNNNNNNNNNNNNNNNNNNNNNNNNNNNNNNNNNNNNNNNNNNNNNNNNNNNNNNNNNNNNNNNNNNNNNNNNNNNNNNNNNNNNNNNNNNNNNNNNNNNNNNNNNNNNNNNNNNNNNNNNNNNNNNNNNNNNNNNNNNNNNNNNNNNNNNNNNNNNNNNNNNNNNNNNNNNNNNNNNNNNNNNNNNNNNNNNNNNNNNNNNNNNNNNNNNNNNNNNNNNNNNNNNNNNNNNNNNNNNNNNNNNNNNNNNNNNNNNNNNNNNNNNNNNNNNNNNNNNNNNNNNNNNNNNNNNNNNNNNNNNNNNNNNNNNNNNNNNNNNNNNNNNNNNNNNNNNNNNNNNNNNNNNNNNNNNNNNNNNNNNNNNNNNNNNNNNNNNNNNNNNNNNNNNNNNNNNNNNNNNNNNNNNNNNNNNNNNNNNNNNNNNNNNNNNNNNNNNNNNNNNNAAUAUGGGUGGAGUAACCUAUAAAGCUGAUGUGUACAGUUUUGGAAUGCUUUUGAUGGAAAUGACAAGUAAGAGAAGGAACUCAAAUCCUGAUGCCGAACAUUCAAGUCAAAAUUAUUUUCCUUUCUGGAUUUAUGAUCAAUUUCAAAAAGAGAAAAACAUUGACAUGCAAGAUGCUUCAGAAGAAGAGAAUAUUCUAGUUAAAAAAAUGUUCUUAAUUGCACUUUGGUGUAUUCAAUUAAAUCCAAGUGAUCGUCCUUCAAUGAACAAGGUAUUAGAAAUGCUUGAAGGGGUGAUUGAAAGCCUUGAAUUGCCUCCAAAGCCUUCCUUUUACAAUAUUGAAGCAUACGAACAUGAUGAUAUUAGCUCUGAUGUCACUGAGUACACUUAUUCUACUAGUCAGCAUGAUGAAAGCAUAACAUCGGAUUCACCAAAGAAUAUUGAAAGUUGAUGGGAGUAAUGAAUUAAUGUUAUAGGUUGGUCCUUGUAUAAAUUUAUUUGGUAGUGUAUACAAUUAUAGUUUUUCAUGUGUAAUAAGACAAUUAUAGUUUUUCUUAUUGUAAAAGUAGUAAGGUCUUUUUUUAAGCCAUAUCAAAAUCAUUUCCUUUACUUUUAUUCUAUUUUAGUGCUUGAUAAAAAAAAACAUAGAAAAAUAGUUCCUUCUUUAAGGUUUUCUUAAUAAUUGUUUUUUUCUUUCAAGGAGAGGGUAUUAUUGUUGCUUUCUUAAAUAUAAAAGCAAAUGGUAUUGUAAUUUUAUUUCAUAACAAAAUUGCAUCAUUGCUUAUUGUUAGUUUUGUUAGUUUUGCUUAUUUCAUUUUUGUUUACUAAGAAAGUGGUUUAGAACUUGAUUUUCUUACCAGUUCUACUCAUUAAUGCUGGAAUAAUGUUGUGAAAAAAAAUCCUAGUAUGCUCUAUGACGUGAAUGCAACUAAUUUGGCAUAAAAAAUAUAUUCUUAUUACUAGAUAUACCUCUAUGAACGAAAUGCUACAAUGAUUACCGUCACGCUGGAAGCCACCCCAACCACGCAUGUAACAGAAUAUGAAGUUUGGAAUUGAAUACCAAGGUUGUUCUUAAUGGGAAUUGAAUAUGACGAGUGGGAACCCAAUACGCCUUCUUCGCAAAUUUGUUCACAUCCUGAAUAUGAAAGUUGAGAAUUGAAUACGAAGAUGUUGAGAAGUUUGGGAACCGAAUAUGGGUUCUUUCGAAAUUCUUCAUCUUCUGGAACCGAAUAUUGCUGCAAGGUAACCGAAUACAUCUUCAGUUCUUUCUCUUCAAAUACUUCGAAUUGGUCUUCAUCUUCAACCAUCACCCAUCAACGUCAUUUAACAUAGACAAUCCAACUUUGUCUUCCUUAUCUACAACCUACAACGUCAAUAAACUUUGGUGUUUCUAUUAUACAACAAAGAAAUUGUUUUUUUCAUACUCAAAAUCCAUUUUUAUGUCAGCCAAGACUCGAGUUGGAAUAACAUAAUGUGCAAAGGGUGAAGUAGACAUUAUAUGGUAAAUCCUUGCAAAUUUCUACACUUUAGCUGGGUGAUGAAAAAUUCCCCAAUCCCACAAAUCCGCACCUUUCCUUCCUCGCAUUUAGGCUAAAGUGAACACACAUUUUCUCGCAUUUCAUCGCUCUCAAAUACGCAUGAACAGUUCUUUCUGUUCAAGUGAACACAAACUUAGUGGUUAUGAAGAAAACACUUAGUAUUUCAGUGUAUCAAUUAAUGGUUUACCACUAUUUCUUAACAACUUACUUGGUGUACUAAUUCAUUAUGUUCAUUUUUUUUUUUUGUUUUUAUUUGUUGUUUCUAUUAUUAAUUUGUUAUUUCUAAAUUUGUUUUUUUUAUUUCUUUUUAUUUUUUAUUUUAUUUACAAAUUAUGUUUUUAAUUUGCUUUUUUCUUAUUCUAUUUUUUAAUUUUUUAAUAUUUCUAUUUCCAUUUUUAUUUAAUGUUUUUGUUUUUAAUUUACUCUUUCUGAUUAUGUAUGUUUUUAACUUUUCCUUUCUAUUUUCAUUUUUCUAUUUAUAUUUUUUCUGUUUAUUUCUAUUUUUAAAAUGUGUUGUUUAUGAUUCUAGUUUAAAUUUUUCUGUUUCUUAUUUAAAAUUUUCUAUUUCUUUUUUUUUAAUUUUUUUUACUCAAUUUUUAAUUUUUCUGUUUUUAAUUUUUGUUUUUUCUAUUUUUAUUUUUAAUUUUUUUGUUUAUGCAAUUUUAAAUGUGCUGAGUUUCUAUUUCUGUUUUUGUUUCUAUUUAUGUUUUCAAUUUUUUUUUUGUUCUUGUUUCUAUUUUUAAUUUUGUUAUUUCUAUAUUUUACAUUUAAUUUUUCUAUUUCUAUUUUGGAUUUUGAUGUUUUUUAUUUUUUUAUUUUUUGUUUUACAUUUUCUAUUUCUAUUUUUAUUUUUAAUUAUGUUGUUGUUUUGCUCACAUAAAAAUUAACAAGUAUCACUGGUGCAGAAACGGGUUAUAACGUCACGCGGUCAAUGUCUCACCGCCCAAUUCGCAACGUUGAAAAUGAAUGGUGGCCUUACCGUAAAUUAAUUCAAUCGCUCCACGUCCUCUAUUGAAACCGUUCGCCGACUAAUAUUUAUUAACAACAAACAAAGUUCAUAUAGACGUAAUCUAAAAUGUGCUAACGUCAAACAAGGGCUAGAACAACGUAAAACAGUGACCUUAGAAACACUUAACAUCAUUUUGAGAAACAACUAACGUUCAAUUUAAAAUAAAAAAAAAUAAUGAAAUACUGGUUUGCUUCCAGCAAUAUCACUCUACCCACAGAUAGUGAAUCCAUUUUUUAUUCUUUAUUUCUUUUCUCUUUUAAACCAGACAGAACGUCGCCCACUUUAUGGUUUCGACGUAUAUACCAAUGUAGAACGUCGAUCAAUUUGGAGUCUGACGUGAUAGUCCUUAGUGUACGAAACCUAGGUAAUCACAUAACUUCAGUUAAGGAAGCAAUUGACAUUCAAUACAAAAUAAAUAAAUACAAAAUUUUGUUUUAAAUAAUAUGACGUCACAUUAACAAAAGAUGGACGUUGUAUAUUACAACUAGUAGUUAUUCUUUUAUUUUUCUUUUAAAUCAACCAAUAAAACGUCAAUUUAAACUGUCUACAACGUUUUAUUAUUUAGUUCCUUUUUUUUAUUAUUUUUUUCGUUCAAAACAACUAUAUAACGUCAAAUUGAUCUAUGCAUUUGACGUCUACUCAAUUGUGUUUUAGUGUAGUUUUGUGCGUGUUUUUCGGUAGCCUGAUACCACUUUCUUCCUUUGCUAGUUUCUCCAUAAGAAAAACUUGCGUCUUUUGUAUCUCUAAUGGUAUUUCAACUCAAAACCGAACAUGGGUCGUUGCCUAGAUGUCAUGCAAACCGCCAAUGAAAAAGAAUACGGUGACAUGAGAACUAGGCAAGACCCAGGUUUGGUUUUGGUUGAAAUAUCAUAAGAGACCAAAAGACGCAAGCUUUUCUUACUAGGAAACUACUAAAGGGAGAAGGUAUUAAUACGCUACCAAAAGACACGAGCAAAACUGCACCAAAACACAAUGAAAACUCAUUUUAAUCGGUUCAAAUGGAAGAUAAUCCAUCAAAGACUAAUUUAACCGGAGUAAAAGUAAGUUUGAACGAUUCAAAAGAGAUAAAACACAGAUGAAAAUGCAAUGCCGCAUAGAAAAAAGGCGAGGAGGAAGACGAUGAAGUGUGUGUAACCACGGGUUUGCGAUUUUUGAUUUAAUAGGAAAAAAAAUAGUAAGAACAUAAGUGCUUUUUCAAAAUCUAUAGAACCCUUGGAACUGCUUUUAUAACUUGAUGUUUCUUGAUUAUAUGAUUCAAUUUUUAGGUUUCAAAAAGUUGUUUUCUACCGAAUUAGUGGAUUUGAUUUCGGAGAGAACAACUUUUUGGAACUAAAAUAUGAAUUAAUAACAAUCAAAUUGUGGAAUUGUAUAGAGUUAAGCAUUAUAUUUAUAGAGUCAAUAUCAAUGCUCACAACCACUCUGGUAAUAAGACAAAAUUAAUCACAACCACUCAAAUGCCUUUCACGUCGAAGCCCCCUAAAGUUUGACGUUCUAUGGGAAUUUAAAAAGGAAGAAAGAAAAAGAAGAGUGACCUUUGCCUUCUAAUAACAAAUAAUACGUCAUAUGCACAAGGAAUUCAUUUUUUUAUUAAAAGAAAAAAGAAUAUAACCAAAAAGACACUUUGGAAGUCUAAAGAAAUUGACGUCAACUUCUUCGUUUCUAGCAAUAAACUGCAUUUUCCCAUAUAUGAUUUAAGUAGACUGCCUUUAAUAAUUGAAGCCCGUAUCAACCCUUUCCCAACAUUAAUUAUUUAAAUAGACAUGAAUUUAUAAAAUUGCUUGUAACAACCGUUGUGUUAACUUGUAACAAAUCCAAGGCCUUUCAAAACGCUACAACUUCAAAUCAUAAAAUUCAUAAACUCCUUCUAGGAAUUAAUAGAGGACGUUGAAUAUUCGAGGUAAGUAAUUUUCACAGUCCACAUCUAGUAUGAACGUCAAAUAUUUUCCAAAUUCGGCGUUCAAACAUCAUUUAGAGAAAAUGUAGAAAAUCUCUUUGGAUGCUGAUAUAACCUCCUUGCAGGUGAAAAUUACGUCGAAGAUAUAUGAUCCUUGACGUUAAAGUGAGAGUUUAAAAGAAAAAAAGUAAAAUUCGACAUAAUAUUGGUGCUUUGGAAAAGGCACACAAUUAAUUUUCACAGUUCGCAUCUAGUAUGAAUGUCAAAUAUUUUCCAAAUUUGACGUUCAAACAUCAUUCAGAGAAAAAGUAAAAAAUCUCUUUAGAUACUGGUAUGACCUUCUUGUUACUAAUAUGACCUCCUUGCUGACGAAAAAUACGUCAAAGAAAUAGGAUUUUUGACGUGUCUUCAUCCUUGAAGCAUCAUCCCUUUGUGGUUUUCACAAGGCCAAGGGAAGUCAAGGUGUUUCGAUUUAUCACAUUUGAGUAGUUACAAGAGCAUUUCUUUUCAUCACUAACAUCCACAACUUGAAGGGUCAGGACUUGGCUAAUAAACACAACAUAUGGUUCCUGCAUCAAUCAUAUGAUCUUUUAUUACUUCCACCCAAUUGGUGGGAACAUCAUGUUAGGAAACAGGUAGGCUUCUUUUUACACCAAGAGGGGGGAGGGGUGAAUUGGUGUUAGUUCAAAUUCAAAAUCUUUUCGCAAUCUUGGUAUGAAAAUUCAAAGCUUUUGAUCUUUCCUUGAAAUGCAAGUAAUGAAAAUUCAAUGCUGCGGAAAAACGCAGUUGACUGCUAAACGAAUGUAGUCGAAUAGAAUCAUCCAUUUUGUUGCGGAAAACCCAUUUUGUACCAAUUACUUGUAGAUCAGGUUUUCUGGGUAAAAGCUCCCACACAUUGUUCCUUGUGAACUGAUUCAGUUCCUCUUGCAUUACAAUCAUCCAAUUCUCAUCACUCAAAGCCUCCUCAACUUUCUUGGGUUCAAUUUUGGACACAAAGGCAACGUUCAUGCAAUACCGGUUUAGUUGUCUUCUUGUAGAUACUCCUCUUGAUAUGUCACCAAUCAAAUUUUCAAGUGAUACAUUUCUUGGCACUUUCCAUGUUUUAAUCGCCUCAACUUUAGGAGAUUCGACUUGCUCAGCCUCAUCUUCUUUCUCAGUAGCUUCUUCAAGACCCUCUUCAUCAACUGUGUUCUCAUCUUCUUCAACAGAGUUCAUGACUUGUUUAGAAUGAUUUGGAUUCAUGAUGAACUCAUCAAAUGCAACAUGAAUAGAUUCCUCCACAUUCAUAGUUCUCUUAUUGUAUACUCGGUAUGCCUUGUUGUUCAAGGAAUAUCCUAUGAAAAUUGCUUCAUCAGCUUUAGAGUCAAACUUUCCAAGAAUUUAUUUGCCAUUAUUCAAUACAAAGCAUUUGCUUCCAAAGAUUCUCAAGUGUGAAAUAUUUGGCUUUCUUCCUCUCAGCAAUUCAUAUGGUGUUAGUUUCAAUAUAGACCUGAUGAUUGUCCUGUUCAGUACAUAACAAGUUAUGCUCACUGCAUCUGCCCAGAAAUAUUUUGGAAUGUCCCUAUCAUUCAGCAUUGAUCUAGCUAAUUCUUCAAGUGCUCUGUUUUUUCUUUCCACCACUUCAUUUUGCUGUGGUGUUCUAGGUGCAGAAAAGUUGUGUAUUAUUCCCAUUUCAGCCAGAUAAUCAUCAAAAUCCUUAUUUUGAAAUUCUCCUCCAUGAUCACUUCGGAUAGCCUUGAUCUUAAGAUCCAUUUCGUUCUGAAUGGCAGCAGCAAAUUGCUUGAAGACUUUAAGUGCAUCAUUCUUAGCUACAAUGAAAUAAGUCCAAGUAUAUCUUGAAUAGUCAUCUACAAUAACUAGCCUGUAUGAAUUUCCUCCAAGACUCUUUGUUCUGGAUGGUCCAAAUAGAUCCAUGUGAAGCAAUUGCAGAGGUUUCUUGGUUGACAUUUCACUCUUACUCUUGAACGACUGUUUGGUUAGCUUCCCUCUUUGACAAGCAUCACAUAAUCUUUCAGUUUUAAAUUGGAUCUUGAGCAGACCAUUUACCAGUUUCUUAGAGACAAGCUUAUUCAGUUGACUCAUACUUAUGUGAGCUAAUCUCUUGAUGUGAGCUAAUCUCUUGUGCCAUAGCCACACAUCUUCUUCUUUGGUCAUCAGGCAUACAACAAAUUCGAAUGCAUUAUCCAUGAAGUCGAUUAAGUAGAUGUUGUUCACCCUUUUUCCCACAAGCAAUAACUCAUUUGUUGUGCCAUUGCUGAUCAGACAGUAUUUGGGUUCGAAGGUUAUCUUCAAUCCUUUGUCGCAUAGCUGACUGAUGCUGAGCAGAUUGUGCUUUAACCCUUCAACAAGCAAAACGUUUUUUAUUUCAUAAGAUGAAUGAGCUUUUAUUUUACCUAUACCGAUGAUUCUUCCUUUGUUGUUAUCACCGUACGUGACAUGGCCUACAACUUUAUAUGAGAUGUUUGAGAAUUUUGUAGGAUCUCCAGUCAUAUCUCUCGAACACCCGUUGUCAAGGUACCAUGUAGGACUUUUGAAUUGUUGUUCAAUAUCAGGUUUGAUUACCCUGGAUUUUGCCAUCAUGAUCAGUUCUUCUUUAUUCUUGACUUUCUUGGCAUCAACAGAAUGAUCUUGAUUAUUCGUUUUUCUCAAGAACUUUGUAAACUUGCUCCUUAACAAGAUUGAUUUCUGCAUCUUUGAACAUGAUUCUUCAUCACUGGUUACCUUGCAUUCCAAGUUACCUGUUUCAAAGUUUUCAAAGAAUCCAUUGAUAACAAAUUAAAAUACCGUUAUUUGAUAUAUGAUUUUGAUACUAAAAGCACCUUUUUUGACUUAGAAAUAAACAUAUUGUGAACCAUAUUUCUUUAUCCUAAGCACUUCCCUUUCAGUAAGAUAACUAAACCAUUAAUGUACUAUAAAAUCAUUUUGUUGACUUCAAUUUCAAAGGCCACCUUCAUAUGAACUAGGCCCUGAAUGCGACACUUCAAAAUUCAAGUCAACAAAUUGCAAUUUGAAGAACAUAGAUGUUUUGAAAUCUAAGUAAAGAAAAACGCUCAGGAGAUGAAAAACAUGAAUCCAAAUAUGUUCAAUAUGGAAACAGAACGAAUUGCAUUACAAAGAGAAGCACAUCUAUAUUUAGAGAUGAAACGGUGUCGUCUAAAUAUUUUAGUUCUAGAAAAUGUUUCAGAAUUAAACAUAUUGUGAACCAUAUUUCUUUUUCCUUGCCAUUUCACUUCUAGUAAGAUAACUUAAUCAUUUUUGUACUAUAAAAAGCAUUUUGUUGACUUCAAUUUUAAAGGCCACCUUCAUAUGAUCUUAGGCCUGAAUGUGACACUUUGAAAUUCAAGUGAGCAAAUUGAAAUUUAAAGAACAAAUAUGAUACAAAAUUUAAGAGAAGUACAAUGAAAAAGAGAUAAAAAAAACAUGACUCCUAAUAUGUUCAAUACGGAAACAGGAAGCAAGGCAUUAAAUGAAAUGCAAGCCAUAUUUAUAUAUGAACCGAUGACAGACAUUAAAUCGUGUAAUUAUGGUUAGUAACUAGAAUGAACGUCGAUUAACAUCCCAAUUCGUUGUUCAAACAUCAUUCACUGAAAAAGUAAAAAAUCACAAAAAUAUACUGAUAAUAAUUGUAAAAAAUAUCUUUGGAUACUGGUAAAAGCACACAAUUAAUGGUCCCACUGAUAACGGUUCAAAAACCGUUAUUUUCAUACUUAAAUUUGACAUCAAACACACCCUUUGUGACUUAGAAUUAGCUUGAAAUCAUGUAAUUUGCUUAAGUUAGGGAAUAAGAGAGUCAAAUUAGGUUUUAUUGGUUUUAUGCUUGGUUUUCCUUUAAUUUGGCAAGAUUUAUCAGGAGUUGAAUGAAGGAAGUCAAGUAAGAGAAGAUUUGGAUGCAAGAGAAGGUAGAAAAGUGAAGAAAAGAAGAGUCACAACCACCGCUGGGAGGUGUACUUUCCAAUUAAUUUUCUGCCAGGUGUUUAAGCAGUACCGCUAAGGGGUGAAGUGGAGUAUCGCACUCACCGUAGGGCGGUGGACUCUUCAGGGGAUUCUCUGGCCAACGCUCAAGCGGAAACUCUGAGGGUUGAACUUAAGUCACGCACCCACCGCCGGGCGGUGAACCCACCACUAGGCGAUGUACUACUGGGCCUAGGCCAAAAUUUUGCUAUUUUUAUAAGUUAUAAAUAGACCUAGACGAACCAGAAGGGGUAUCUUUUGGCAGAAAAGGACGCAAAAACACUCUCUUCACCCCUCAAAGGCGGAUUUUGGAUGCAGGAGCUCCAACUUAUCAAAUCUAGGGUUAUCUUUUUUGAUAUCAUGGUUGAUUUGAUUAUCCAUCUAGUCAGAGAAAUUUGAAUAUGUGGGCCGGUUUUCUUGAGGUGGAUGUACCCGAUUGAAAGAUACAUGAGGAUCUUAAAGGGAUAUGUUAAGAAUCAAUUGAGACCGGAAGCUUCAAUUAUAGAGCGCUACAUUAUAGAGGAAGCCAUUGAAUUUUGCUCAAGUUAUAUGCCAUGUUGUGAACCAAUAGGACUUCAAAAGAAAACACAUGAACACAGACGUGAAGGAAAGGGAGUUCGAGGAGUAAGGAUUAAAGUGUUAGUGUAAAAUAAGUUAAUCAAGCAAAUUUGUACGUUUUAAACAACAUAGAGGAUGUUAUUCCUUACAUUUCACAACACAUUGAUAAAAUUAAGUGAGCACAUCCACGUAUGAGUGAAAAGUGGACACUUAAUGAACAUAACAAAUCCUUUUUAGCUUGGUUUAAGAAAAAAAUCUAUGCCACUCCGAAUGUUUCUAAAAAUCUAUUCAGACUAGCUCAUGGACCUAACACUGAUGUGAUCACUUUAGGCGACUAUUACAUAAACAAUUACUUAUUCUAUUCAAAGGAGGAAGACGAUAAAAGUAGAAUUCAAAAUAGUGGAGUUACCCUACAAGUUGAGGCUGUACACUUUUCCAGUUCUAAGGAUAGGAAUCCAAUUACAACAUCAAUAAGUUAUUUUGGAAUAAUACAAGAAAUUUGGGAAAUUGAUUAUGCCACUUUUAGAGUUCCAAUUUUCAAGUGUAAAUGGGUUGAUAGUAAAUCUGGUGCCGUGACAGAAGACCUCAGAUUCACUUUGGUGGAUCUUAACAAAAUGAGUUACACGGAUGAACCAUUUAUUAUGACUAGUCAAGCAAGACAAAUAUUUUAUGACAUUGACCCAGUGAAUCAUAAAUGGUCAGUGGUAUAGGAAGGUAGAGCCAUGCACACAACUGAUGAUGAAGACUCUCUAGAUAUACUUGAGACAAGCUCCUUUUCAUCGAGAACCAUUGAAAAUAAGGUUGAUGAUGUACCCGAUGAAAUACAUGCAACUCGAUGUGAUCACAACGAAGGCAUGUGGGAGAAAUAGGUAAGUAUUACAUUCAUUCUUAUCAAUUCAUUGAUAUUAAUAUAUUAACUUAUGUUUCUAAUAUUUCAAAUGUUUCAAAUUUGUUUAGAGUUCUAACUAGGACCAGAGGACAACAAAUUGAGAUUAUAUAUCCUAAGGUUGGAAUUCGUUGAUCUUUUAACCUUUAAUUUUCAUAGUCAAUUUUAAACCCAUUACAUUUGACUAAGUUCUUUCACAUGUUUAGUGUAAUAAGCAUACUGAUUCCUGAGCAUGUGGCUACUACAUCAUGUCAUGGAUGAAGACAAUCAUCCGAGCAGGAAUCGGAGGAGAUUGGACUGUGGUAGAAAUUUACAUUUGAAAAUCUUAGAAAUAUCAAUAAACUUUUGAUAUUAAAAUGAAUAUAAUUGUAAAGUUUCCUUCCUUGAUUUUGCAGCAAUUCAACACCACCUAUUCAUUGUCCAAUGAAGUAAUAAAGAUGAUAAGAGAAGAAUGGGCAGGAUAUUUGAAUAAACAUUUUAAAUAACUAUAGUUUUAGGUUUUUCCUUUCAUGAUAGUAGCAUUUGCUUACUUGUGCAACUUUUUGACUAUGAAUAGAUGUAUAUUGUCAAUAGAUUAUUUAGAAUAGAUGAAUAUUGUGAAUGGAUGAAUGUUGUGAAUAGAUGAAUGGAAAAGUGGGUUCUUUUAAGUUUUGAUGAUAGCAUUAGUUUCUUUUACUUUUACAAUUUAAUUGGAAUUGAUGAAUUGAUGAUAACAUGGUUUAAAUUAAUUAGGUGCAUUUAUGAAUUGGAAAUGGUUUCUGUAUUUCAGGUUUGAUUAAAUGAACUAAAACGAACCGAAUUGAUAAAAAAAGUAUUGAAGGUAACGUCAAAUUAUAAAUUGUUCGACGUUAGCAUAUGCAUCUCAAUGUCGAUCAAAGCGAUGAGUGACAUUCAAAUAAUGUAGUGGAUAACGAUAAUAAUACAACGCUUGGCAAGGAUCUCUACGGAUUGGCGCUAGUAACUUCAACUGUCAACAUGUUCGAUGUCAACCUUACAUCAAUCACCUUAUAAUCGACGUCAAAUAUUCCUUUAAAUAAAAAUUUUUAUUCAAAAAUUGACGUCAAAUUUUUCACUUCGACGUGAAACUUACGUCCAAUAUCUUUUAAUCGACGUCAAAAAUUACGUAAUUCUCCCGAACAUUUGACGAAAAAUCAUUCUUUAAAAAUAAAUAUUUAUUCAAAUAUUGGACGUUAAACUCUAUUCUAUUUGACGUACCUUAACAUUGAUAUGCCUAAAAGACGUUAACCUUACGUCAAGUAUCUAUAUAUUCGACGUAAAGAAGCCUGAGUAACGUCACCUGGUAAUAUUCGACGUAAGUUUACCCCUUCGGCUAUAACGUCGCCAACAAAUGCAUCGUUAAAGGCUAAAAAUAACCGACGUAAUAGGCUGUUUUUGAACUAGUGCUCCCCUUCAUCACCAUGACCACCAUCAUCAUCAAUUUCAAUACAAACACCUAGAUGGUGAGAUGCUUCAACUUUCUCAACUUCAUUUCCAGGUUCUUCAUCCCCUACAACUCCUUCAUUAAAGGCACCCACAGGGUGUUCUUCAACUCCUCCACCAACUUCUUCAUCAGCUCCAUCUGCAGGUGCUUCAUGACCUCCAGCAACACCUUCUUCAUAUAAGAAAAUCUAGGUUCUUCAUUAAAGAUUUGAAAUUGACGAAUUUCAAUUAACUCCCUCACCAACGAACCAAUCUUUGCAUUCAAGGUUAUCAUUUCUUUAUUAUUUUUCUUCAAUCUCUCGUCGGCAGCUGCUUUCCAAGUGCCAUCAUCGGAGGUAUCAUCAUCUGAUUCAUCACCUCUCGAUCAUUUCGACAAUGCUCCUAAACCCAUCCCUCCAUCAAACAGUUCGAAAGUAUCUUUGAUUUCGGUCCUAUUACGAUCAUGCUUCCAAAUAUACCACUCCAAAUUUAACUACAACAAACACAAACAAAUAAAUUAGUUGGUGAACACCAUAAUAAUUAUAAAAAUCACAGAACAAACCAUGAAAGACUUACAUCUCCAUUUUGAAACACCUCUUCGAUUUUUUGGAACCUAGACUUAUAGGGGAACCAACGCAAUAUGCGAGGGAACCUCCUAUGAGAUGAAUGACCAUGCAAAGACAGUCUUUCUACCGCCAAAGCCUACAAUAUGAAAAUAAAUAUAUUAGCCAUAUUUUACAAUGUAGACCAUUCCAUUGAGUUAAACAACUAUAAAUCAUUUUACCUGCAAUACGACCACAUUGCCACUAAGACUCAGUGAGCUAGCAAUACGUCCGAACAUUAUUUUUUUCAUACAUUUAUUCAAAUUAUCUACAUUGUGUUUAUGUACACCGCUGCCCUCAAUCAAAUAAACACAAACUAUUUAUGUCAUCCAACACUACAGAAGACAUGUUAACAACAAUCCUAGACUUCCUAGGAAAAAACACAACCAAACACACUAAUAUAUACAACCAGAACACAACAUCAACCUCAAUGUUUUCGUCCAACACAAUGACAUUAAACAUGUCAACCAACUCCUUCAAAGUUGUGGUCUUUGAAUUAAACAUUUCCCCAUCAAACCAACUAAACAUUCAUCAAAUAGGACUAAGUACAUGCAAACACCACCUAAAUGGUGUCAUUCUAAUUCAAUGUACAUGAACGUCUCUCAGUAAGCGAUUCAUUUGAGCAAUGGUUGAAGAAUCGAUCGAGAUUCGAACUCGCCACUACACAACAUUAGAAAAAACAUUGCUAUUAAUUAACAAUGAGAGGAUAUAAAAUACACUACAAAAAAAAAACCAAAACUUCAUCUUAGUUUUGGGUUUUGGGCUGCCAUUGGACUUGCACUUAUAUAAUAAACUACAAAUAAUGGUGGAGAAGACUGUUAGGGUUGGCACAACACCAAAAAAACAAUGCUCCAAAACAUGGAUAGGGUUCACCAAUUUCUAAUUACCAAAAAAAAGCGAUAAGGACGUCAAUGAAGGGACAGGGCACAAUGCAAAAAAUGAGAGCAAUAUGCCAGCAAGAGAGAGAAAGGUAAGCAAAGGACAAAGAGAGACCAAACGAGAGAGGAGAACAAGCAAGACAAAGGAGAGCAAGCGAGAGAGACGAGUGUUUGAGAGAGCAAACGAGAGAGACGAGUGUUUGGAAGAGAUGACACAACGCGAAACUGAAAGAGGGAUGAAGCGCGAAACGAAUUUUCAUAUUUUCUCGUGUCCAAAAUUACCCUCACAUGACUAUUUCAGUGUUUUUUUUUUCUUCUUAAAACCAAUCAACAGACAAACACCACGUGACGUUAUUAAAUAAUUAAAAAAGUUAUUAAAGAAACCUUUUCGUUUUCAAAUAGUAAUUUGGAAUUUACUUUGGAAAAUAUGGUAUGGGAAAAAGUAAAAACAGUGCUAACAAGGAUAAAAGUGGACGAGAAAAGUGGACGGAGGGAGGGGCACCUUUUAAUUAAAAAAGCAAGGCAAUAAUUAAAGGAAGAAGGGAGAACAUUUUUCUCAUUAGCACAAUUUGAAGGAUGGAAAACGAAGGCUGGAGUAGGUGUUCUUUCUGUGCAGGUACUCUGGUAUCAAUAUUGGCUACAAUUAUUCUCCUACUGCAACCUGAUAACUGCCUCGCUAAGCGACACCCACCAUGUCCUACUUCAUCAUGCGGCCAAAUUCGCAACAUAAGUUACCCAUUUAGGCUGAAAGGCGACCCAGGUCUGUGCGGCGACCCAAGGUAUGAGUUAGAUUGCGUUAACAACGCUACUCUCUUAUUAACCUUUUCCUCGGCAAAAUACCUUGUACGAGAGAUCGACUACAAGGGAUACAAAAUCGUUCUUAGAGACCCAGGUCAGGACGAGGACGCUAAUUGCUCUUUCAUCCCUCGCUAUUUCUUAUCGGCUCCGGUUGUC